AUUGAACGCUGGCGGCAGGCUUAACACAUGCAAGUCGAGCGAGCGGCGGACGGGUGAUUAAUGUAUGGGAAACUGCCUGAUGGAGGGGGAUAACUACUGGAAACCGUAGCUAAUACCGCAUACCAUCAGAUGUGCCCAGAUGGGAUUAGCUAGUAGGUGGGGUAAUGGCUCACCAAGGCGACGAUCCCUAUCUGGUCUGCGAGGAUGACCAGCCACACUGGAACUGAGACACGUUCCAGACUCCUACGGGAGGCAGCAGUGGGGAAUAUUGCGCAAUGGGCGAAAUUCUGACAUAGCCAGGCCGCGUGAGUGAAGAAGGCCUUCGGGUUGUAAAGCACUUUUAGCGAGGAGGCGUUACUCGCACAAGAAGAGCCGGCUAGCUCCGUGCCAGCCGCCGCGGUAAUUC
This 406-nucleotide ribosomal RNA is filed under the name uncultured bacterium. RNAcentral describes it as "partial 16S ribosomal RNA". It matches the Rfam family "Bacterial small subunit ribosomal RNA", at positions 30 to 526 of the family's 1533-position model. The record is from RNAcentral.